Siniperca chuatsi (mandarin fish) is the source of this 723-nucleotide long non-coding RNA. RefSeq lists it as uncharacterized. The transcript is spliced from 2 exons. The record is from RefSeq and is a predicted model, not a curated record. Lineage: Eukaryota; Metazoa; Chordata; Actinopteri; Centrarchiformes; Sinipercidae.
UCUCAGGUUGUCAGAAAGCAUGCAGGAGGCUCCGGCCAGGCUGCUGCACACUUUCCACUUUCUAAAAAAAAAAAACAACCCCACAAAACCUGCCGGGCAGACACAGAGCAGGGCAGAAAAGCCCUUUAAAUCAGCUGACAGCAGUGAGUUUGGCUGUAGGCUGAAGGAAAAGUGCAGUUCAGCAGGCAGGUAAAGAUGGGACAGGAGAAAACACAUGGACCAGGAGAACCAAAAUACACUUCUGCUGUCUGAUAGGACUCUGAUUCGGAUCCAGCAGGAACAGAUUUAGCUCUGCUGCGCUCUCAGGAAGGUGACGUGUGUAGAAAUAAGCCUGCGUGGGAUUACGUAACACCUCUACAUCACACAAACUGUUCAAUACGCUGCAGUGAAAUGACACCAAGUACCAAGUGUUUCUGAUAAUGUAUAAUCUAUAUCAUUUGAAAUGUAUGUAUAUAUGUAUAUAUGUAUGUAUAUUAAAUGUAGCUUUAACCUAGAACAACCAUGAGGCAUAGUCAUUUAUGGCUGUGUUAGUUAUAAAAGGUUUUGGCUGUCAAAUUUCUUGAUUUUUCAAAUUUCGAAACUUAACUUUUGCUCUCAACAGGCAAAGGAACAUGUAAAAAUGUAAUAGUUUGAUUAUCUUUGCCAAAAUGAUCUUGGUAAAUGAUAUUACAACUGUGGAAAUUCGAUGAAAAUCUACGAACAGUAUUAAAACAUAUAAAUAUA